This 1445-nucleotide ribosomal RNA is filed under the name uncultured organism. RNAcentral's name for it is "16S ribosomal RNA". It matches the Rfam family "Bacterial small subunit ribosomal RNA". The record is from RNAcentral.
CAGGCUUAACACGUGCAAGUCGAGGGGCAGCAUGGUCUUAGCUUGCUAAGACUGAUGGCGACCGGCGCACGGGUGAGUAACACGUAUCCAACCUGCCGUCUACUCUUGGACAGCCUUCUGAAAGGAAGAUUAAUACAAGAUGGCAUCAUGAGUCCGCAUGUUCACAUGAUUAAAGGUAUUCCGGUAGACGAUGGGGAUGCGUUCCAUUAGAUAGUAGGCGGGGUAACGGCCCACCUAGUCUUCGAUGGGUAGGGGUUCUGAGAGGAAGGUCCCCCACAUUGGAACUGAGACACGGUCCAAACUCCUACGGGAGGCAGCAGUGAGGAAUAUUGGUCAAUGGGCGAGAGCCUGAACCAGCCAAGUAGCGUGAAGGAUGACUGCCCUAUGGGUUGUAAACUUCUUUUAUAAAGGAAUAAAGUCGGGUAUGGAUACCCGUUUGCAUGUACUUUAUGAAUAAGGAUCGGCUUACUCCGUGCCAGCAGCCGCGGUAAUACGGAGGAUCCGAGCGUUAUCCGGAUUUAUUGGGUUUAAAGGGAGCGUAGAUGGAUGUUUAAGUCAGUUGUGAAAGUUUGCGGCUCAACCGUAAAAUUGCAGUUGAUACUGGAUAUCUUGAGUGCAGUUGAGGCAGGCGGAAUUCGUGGUGUAGCGGUGAAAUGCUUAGAUAUCACGAAGAACUCCGAUUGCGAAGGCAGCCUGCUAAGCUGCAACUGACAUUGAGGCUCGAAAGUGUGGGUAUCAAACAGGAUUAGAUACCCUGGUAGUCCACACGGUAAACGAUGAAUACUCGCUGUUUGCGAUAUACUGCAAGCGGCCAAGCGAAAGCGUUAAGUAUUCCACCUGGGGAGUACGCCGGCAACGGUGAAACUCAAAGGAAUUGACGGGGGCCCGCACAAGCGGAGGAACAUGUGGUUUAAUUCGAUGAUACGCGAGGAACCUUACCCGGGCUUAAAUUGCAGAUGAAUUACGGUGAAAGCCGUAAGCCGCAAGGCAUCUGUGAAGGUGCUGCAUGGUUGUCGUCAGCUCGUGCCGUGAGGUGUCGGCUUAAGUGCCAUAACGAGCGCAACCCUUGUUGUCAGUUACUAACAGGUUCCGCUGAGGACUCUGACAAGACUGCCAUCGUAAGAUGUGAGGAAGGUGGGGAUGACGUCAAAUCAGCACGGCCCUUACGUCCGGGGCUACACACGUGUUACAAUGGGGGGUACAGAGGGCCGCUACCACGCGAGUGGAUGCCAAUCCCCAAAACCUCUCUCAGUUCGGACUGGAGUCUGCAACCCGACUCCACGAAGCUGGAUUCGCUAGUAAUCGCGCAUCAGCCACGGCGCGGUGAAUACGUUCCCGGGCCUUGUACACACCGCCCGUCAAGCCAUGGGAGCCGGGGGUACCUGAAGUGCGUAACCGCGAGGAGCGCCCUAGGGUAAAACUGGUGACUGGGGCUAAGUCAUAAC